CCUUUCUACAUGAUGAAGCAUUUGGAUACAAAACAAAACACGCACCGAGAGCGCAAAACCAUGUGGAUAUCUCCGUUGCCUUCCUUCUGAUCUAGAC
This 97-nucleotide small nucleolar RNA is filed under the name Sphaerulina musiva SO2202. RNAcentral's name for it is "Small nucleolar RNA Z13/snr52". It matches the Rfam family "Small nucleolar RNA Z13/snr52". Rfam says of the family: Z13 or snr52 is a member of the C/D class of snoRNA which contain the C (UGAUGA) and D (CUGA) box motifs. Most of the members of the box C/D family function in directing site-specific 2'-O-methylation of substrate RNAs. Lineage: Eukaryota; Fungi; Ascomycota; Dothideomycetes; Mycosphaerellales; Mycosphaerellaceae. The record is from Rfam by way of RNAcentral.